AGAGACUGUUGGUUCUCACCUUUAAUUUGAGAGUAUUCACAAACUCCACCUGGAGUAAAUCUGUAAGAAUUAAAAACAUUUUAAUGCACAAUCCUCUAUUUAUAUAGACUAUAUAAUCCUCUAGUUAUUGGACAAAUUCUCCUAAUCAUAAAUAAAAUGAACACUUUGUCCAGAAUCCUUUGCAGACAGUGACUGAAGCCUGAGUUCAUGCACAUCAUCACAGAAUAGGUUUCCUCCUUUGUUCUGCUGAGCCUGGUCUUUACUGCAGCUGUCUUCACUUGUUGAUUCUUUCUUCAGUUUUGUCUUUUAAGUGAAAUACGUUUGAAUUAGGUUAAAGUUGACUUGACCCCUGCAGAAUAUUCCACUUCUUUACUCCACAAACUCCUGGGUUUCUUUCACAAUAUCUCAUGGCUCAUUGUCCAUCUGGGCUGUGAAGCACCAUCCAAUCAUCUUUCUUCAUUUGUCUGAAUAUCUCUCUACUUCUCUCUACUGUAUCGUAUGAUAUUGUGUUGUCUUAUAUAAUAGUUAGCUAACUGCGUAGUUAGGAGACAAAUGUAGACCAUAACUUGGAAACAUAGCUGGUCAAGUAGUUGAAAUGGUGGAGAAUCAAAUGUACUUUGGAUUCAUCCUGGACAAUAAACUGAGUUUUGAACAACACAUCACUGUCAUUCAUUAAUGCCACUGACUCUCUGCCAACCAUACACUCUGAGCACUUUUAGUUGUCCCACCCCAGUUGCAGUAGCACAAAUCACUAAAGAGGCUGUAAUAUGUUAGUUGGUGCGCAUGUGUAGUGGUGUGAAUUUAAACAUGUUUGAGUUUGACACAUUUUCAGGUCUCAAAAAGAGGACACGUCUGAUGCUAAAGCUAACGGUUUUCCUUCUUCAGUUUGUUGGAAUUUUGUUGCUUUGUUAAAGUUUCACUGAGCUGAAUGACUAAUACACAUCAUAGAAUCAUUUUACUCUUCGUUCAGUUUGAAGCUAAAUUAUCCAGUAUGCUAUGCUAUGCUAUGCUAUGACAUGUUUAUCAAGUAUUUUCUGCUAUGCUAACAGCUACUGAUGCAGCUUUUUAAGCUGACUCUGUUUUAAAAAUCUAUCAGAUUUUUUUUUAUUUUUCAGAUCUUAAACCUGUUCCUGUCCCUUUCUGCCCAUAUUCUAAUAUAAACAAAUAUUUAUUUUAAGUUCAGAGAACAAUCUGUACUAAAACUACAGUUCCCAUCAUUCUUUGAUCAACCUGGAGCACUGGAACUGAAGCUGAUGCAAACUCACUGAGUGUUUCUGGUUUAUCUCUCAGACUGACUGAAGGCCAGAAGAUGGAGGAAGAGGAGGACAGAGUCAGCUGUCUGUCUAUGAAGAGUGACAGGUCCAACCAUCAACCUCCAGACUUCAGUGGAGAACCUCGACCCUCAGACACAAAAGGUCAGUACCACAGACAGAGAGCAGAGUCUACAGUAUCCAGCUGUCUGUCUAUGAAGAGUGACAACUCCAAGAUUAAUCCUCCAGAAUUCAGUGGAGAACCAGGACCUUCAGACACAAAUGAGAGGAAGAGGAGUCAUGUUUCUGUGGAGGAGCAGCUGUCCUGCUGUGCUUUGUGUCAGG
This is a long non-coding RNA of Mugil cephalus (flathead mullet), 1595 nucleotides long. RefSeq lists it as uncharacterized. Lineage: Eukaryota; Metazoa; Chordata; Actinopteri; Mugiliformes; Mugilidae. The record is from RefSeq and is a predicted model, not a curated record. The transcript is spliced from 3 exons.